GAUGAACGCUAGCGGCGUGCCUAACACAUGCAAGCCGAGCGGUAGAGCCCCUCUGUUGUCUUGAGCGCGGCGCACGGGUGCGGAAGACGCGCGCAACUUGCCUUUAUCUGGGGGAUAGCUUUUCUAAAGGAACAUUAACACCCCCCAAUUUACAGGUCGGCAUCCACUGGUAUUGAAAAAUCCGGUGGAUAGUGAUGGGUACGCGCACGAUUGGUUAGCUGGUGAGGUAAGGGCUCACCUAGUCAGCGAUCUUUAGGGAGCCUGGGGGUGUGGUCCCCCAGACUGGUACAGGGACACGGGCCAGAGUCAUACGGGAGGCAGCAGUGAGGAAUGUAGGACAAGGGGUGAGUGCCUGAUCGAGCCAAGCCGCGUGAAGGACGACGGCGCGAUGGAUUGUAACCUUCUUUUGUAUAAGGAUAAACCUAGGUACGGGUAUCUAGCUGAAGGUACUGUACGAAGAAGCACCGGCUAACUCCGUG
RNAcentral lists this ribosomal RNA (479 nucleotides) under uncultured bacterium. RNAcentral describes it as "partial 16S ribosomal RNA". It matches the Rfam family "Bacterial small subunit ribosomal RNA", at positions 28 to 507 of the family's 1533-position model. The record is from RNAcentral.